RNAcentral lists this long non-coding RNA (2832 nucleotides) under Apis dorsata (giant honeybee). RNAcentral's name for it is "uncharacterized LOC102674640". The record is from RNAcentral. Lineage: Eukaryota; Metazoa; Arthropoda; Insecta; Hymenoptera; Apidae.
CUAAUAUAUCAUUUGUUAUAUAAAACAAUAAAUAACUUCGAACUAAAUCUUGGAAAAAAAAAAGAAAAACAAAACAUUAUUUAUAGAACAAAGCAGAGAAACUAUAUAUAAUGGGCAAAAGUCUGAAAGUUUUCAGACUUCAACCGAUGUAACCAUGACUCUGUAAAUGGGAAAAUCUUGUAUACACAGGCAAAAGAGACAGUGAUCCAAUCUUUGAUGAAAUAAAUAUCUGCCACGUACAUUUCAUAUCUCGACUUGCGAUAAAGAUUCUCAUUAACAAUGAUGAUAAAUAUUACAGAAAAAAUGAUGAAAGAAAGGAUUAAAUUUAAAAUUUUUACAUAGAAGUCUUGAUGCUAUUUUUGAUAAUAAUCUGUUAAUUAUUUAAGACAGAAUUUACCAUACUGAUAGAGAUGAGAAUUUGUUGCUUUUCAAUUUGCUCACGUGAGAAAUAAAAAUUCUAGGUUUGUUUGUUAAAUAUUGAAAUAGAUAAGCAUGAUAAUGAAUGUGUGCAAUUUUAAUCAAACAAAGUCUAAUCGCUAUACGAUUAUGCAAUAAGUCAAUAAAGCACGAUGAACGAGCUUAUAGAAAUUUAUGAAGUAAAAUGUACAAUUGGACACGUUCCAGAAAACGUGAAAGCAGGAAAUCACAUAUCAAUAAUAGUGAAAAAACUAUUAUGGAACAAUAGAAUUUCCUCUAAAGGAAAGAAGAUUAUUACAAUCUAUCAAUAAUAAUAACAAAAUUCUAAUAUUCCACAAUCUAAGUUCCUUAACCUUCGAAGGAAAAGAAUAUUUGCAAAACAAAGAAAAAAUUUUUCCUCACUUCAUGUGGAAAUCAUUUUUCAAAGGAACGAUUUUAUGCACCGAAGAAAAUAUCUGUCACUAGCAACGACCUUAUCAGUCAACUGCUUAUCAUCGACCUCACGUAGUUGAGGACAGGUUUAUGACUUGACUGCUGGAAUCGCGAACAAGUGUAUCUCCGUUACCUCAAACGGUUCCUCUUUUCUUAAUACCUCUUUUCGACGUAGACACUUUCUUGUUUUGAGAAAACUAAGACAAAGCAGAAUAUUUGCAAAACAUAUGCGAAAAGAGACACGAUUUUCCGAACGUGAUAUAACUAUAUAUUGUUUUAUAAUCGCGAAAGAAGAUUCGAGACACGUGUGAAGACAAACAGCACUGAUUCAACUUCAAAGAAAUUUCUUUAACGUCGACACGAUGUCGAAUUGACAGCCGAUGAAUUAUUUCUUCAGAUUCUUUUGAGAUUUCUUGAAAAUUGUUACAAAACGAAACUUAAAGAUGAAUGAUCUUUUAAUCUAAAAACGAAAAUUUUGAAAGAAAGUUUAUUUAUUUUAUAUAUAAUAAUAUUUAAGAUACAAAAUUUAUAAACUAUGCUUUAUAAUUACAUCUAAUUAUGAGUGAAAGGAUUAAGGAAAUCUCUUAUAUUUUAAUAGAAACGUUAAACGUUAGUUUCAUAUCUAAACAAAUGGAUAACUAAGUAACACCUUCGUCAGAUUUCUCAUCAAAUAAUAACGAUAUCUUUUGAAACGACAACUUUCAUCAAUAACAACUUUCACAUCGACAAAUAUAGAAUUCCAUUUCGUAGGAUCGAAUUCAGCCCGAAUUUUGAUACGAAGCCCAUCAAAAGCUGAAUGGAUUUGUAACAAGGAUUUAUCUUAUUAUAAAAGUAUAUCUAAAAUCGAGAGAAAUAUCGUUUCUCGAAAACAGCAAUAUCAUUAGAUCCUAAAUGCUCGUUAACCUACCUAUCGAAACCGAUUUUAACGCUUUUGGAAUAAAUGAUUAUGCAUGCAGAUCGCACGAUUCCGCGAUUACCACUCGUUACGCCGAGUUGUUCCAUCGGGAACGACACGAUAUCAGCGGUACAAUCACGGCCAAAUUGCCUUUGGACGAUAAUGUUCGGAAAAAUGACCGAAACACCGAUCUCGAUGCAUCCGUGAAAAAAAAUAAUGCGAAAAUCACGAUUUGCGAUCAAAGUAUCCAAAGAGCUAAAACGAAAUUUAGUUCGAUUCUUGAUUAAUUCUGAAUAGUGAUGGGCACAAGUAUAUUGCAACUAAUAUGAUCUUUCAUGAAUAAUGAUAGAAAUGAAUCUUUUUUAUUUGAAGAUUAAAUGAGAUCUCUUAUGACUAAAUAAUAAUCAAAAUUGAAUGAAAUGAAUAAAGCGAAUGAAAUUAACUUUUUAUAUUGAAAAUGAAAUAUGAUGAGUAAAACUCAUGAAGCUUUUUAUAUUGAAAAAUUAAAUAUGAUCUCUUAUGAAUAAUUGAAUAAUCGAAUUCUAUGCAAUGAAUACUUUAUAAUGAAAUAAUGAAUUCCUUUAUGAAUUGAAUUCUUAAAAUGAAUGAAAAAGUGAAAUAAACAAAUUAAUAUUUCACAAUUAAAUACAAUCUAAACGCAUAAAAAAUACAAAAAAGUAAAACGUGAUUUCUUAUAAGUAUUAAAAUUAAAGAUGGAACUUUUAUUUUAUUUGUAUUCGUGUAUACAUAUUGAACUUCAUCCCAUCGCUAACCCGAGCUAAUUUCCAACAAGAGAACCCUCUCUUAAAUUGACGAAAAUUACUGGUUAUUCAAACGAUCCUCCAUGAAAUGUGAAAAUCUGUGUAUAUUCAAAGGGACCAUGUUCGAUCGAACGACGUUGAAAACGUGUUAUGCAAGAAUCUUCGCAUAUAUUUAUAUAUAUUAUAAAUGAAAUUUUCUUGAACAAAGAAAAACUGAAAUAAUUACUGACUGAAGUACAGAAAUCGAGCGAGUAGUAUGCGUGCAACUUUCACUCUCGUCUUGGCAGGUUUCAAGGAACAAAAAUUGAUUUGUCGCACAAACAUUCG